CAAAAAGCCCUUUUCAGGGCUACUCCACCUACAAACUUAAACAGCUU
Molecule: non-coding RNA, 47 nt
Organism: Phlebotomus papatasi
Lineage: Eukaryota; Metazoa; Arthropoda; Insecta; Diptera; Psychodidae
Source: Rfam